AGCAGCCGCGGUAAUUCCAGCUCCAAUAGCGUAUAUUAAAGUUGUUGCAGUUAAAAAGCUCGUAGUUGAAUUUCGGGAUCAAUUAAUUGGUCGUGCCUCUGGUACGUACUGAUUUUAUUGGUUUCUCCCUUCUGAAGAAUCAUGAUGUCAUUAAUUUGGUGUCGUGGAGAAUCAGGACUGUUACUUUGAAAAAAUUAGAGUGUUUAAAGCAAGCUAACGCUUGAAUACAUUAGCAUGGAAUAAUGAAAUAGGACGUUUGAUCCUAUUUUGUUGGUUUCUAGGAUCGACGUAAUGAUUAAUAGGGAUAGUUGGGGGCAUUAGUAUUCAAUUGUCAGAGGUGAAAUUCUUGGAUUUAUUGAAGACUAACUACUGCGAAAGCAUUUGCCAAGGAUGUUUUCAUUAAUCAAGAGCGAAAGUUAGGGGAUCGAAGACGAUCAGAUACCGUCGUAGUCUUAACCAUAAACUAUGCCGACUAGGGAUCGGAUGAUGUUAAUUUUUUAAUGACUCAUUCGGCGCCUUA
This 520-nucleotide ribosomal RNA is filed under the name uncultured Glomus. Its description in RNAcentral is "SSU rRNA". It matches the Rfam family "Eukaryotic small subunit ribosomal RNA", at positions 569 to 1090 of the family's 1831-position model. Lineage: Eukaryota; Fungi; Glomeromycota; Glomeromycetes; Glomerales; Glomeraceae. The record is from RNAcentral.